CCUACGGGAGGCAGCAGUGGGGAAUCUUGCGCAAUGGGCGAAAGCCUGACGCAGCAACGCCGCGUGCGGGAAGAAGGCUUUCGGGCUGUAAACCGCUUUCAGCAGGAACGAAAAUGACGGUACCUGCAGAAGAAGGAGCGGCCAACUAUGUGCCAGCAGCCGCGGUGAUACAUAGGCUUCAAGCGUUGUCCGGAUUUAUUGGGCGUAAAGAGUUCGUAGGCGGUCGAGUAAGUCGGGUGUGAAAAUUCUGGGCUCAACCCAGAGACGCCACCCGAUACUGCUUAACUUGAGUUCGAUAGGGGAGUGGGGAAUUCCUAGUGUAGCGGUGAAAUGCGCAGAUAUUAGGAGGAACACCGGUGGCGAAGGCGCCACUCUGGAUCGAUACUGACGCUGAGGAACGAAAGCAUGGGUAGCAAACAGGAUUAGAUACCCUGGUAGUCCAUGCCGUAAACGGUGGGCACUAGGUGUGGGAUUCUAUUAACGAAUUCCGCGCCGUCGCUAACGCAUUAAGUGCCCCGCCUGGGGAGUACGGUCGCAAGCUAAAACUCAAAGAUAGUGACGNGNGAGAGCGACGACGACGACGAGAGGAGAG
Molecule: ribosomal RNA, 592 nt
Filed under: uncultured bacterium
Lineage: Bacteria
Description: bacterial SSU rRNA
Rfam family: Bacterial small subunit ribosomal RNA
Source: RNAcentral